Molecule: long non-coding RNA, 3743 nt
Organism: Pristis pectinata (smalltooth sawfish)
Lineage: Eukaryota; Metazoa; Chordata; Chondrichthyes; Rhinopristiformes; Pristidae
Exons: 4
Source: RefSeq, a predicted model, not a curated record
CUUUCAUAAACAGCUAAUAAUUAAACAAACCCAGGGUUUAUGUGGAUUCCCAACAGUGAAUUCCCAAUCCCAAUUUACUCAGUUGGGACAAAACACAAAAAAGUCCAUCAAUUGAGUCAAUUAUUAGAAGGAAGUUUGAGAUCCAAGUGAGAGUUCUUGCCACUUGUAAAAACCCUUCUGGUUCACUAAUGCUGGAAUGUUGGGAAUUCUCCCAGGAAUGCUGGGACAAGUCAGCUGGACGAGUAUCAUCGUGGGAAGAAAAACCUUCUUCAGUUUUAUCUUUGAACCCAGCCUUUCCUGCAGCCUGUGUUGGAUCAGCGGUGGCGAUGAGUAAUUCUGCCCAUCCCUUCCUCGAAGCUGUACAGUGCAGAAUGUCACAGACUGCCGAGGUGAUGAUUCACCCUGGAACGCUGAGCCUUCCUGUAGCUUUCAUCGAUCGGCCCCAGGAAUCCACUGUGGAUCUGGUCUUCAAACUUCAGCUCCACUAGCACUGCUGUCAGCUUCUCCAGGCACGGUUAAGAUAUUUAUUUAUUAGUCACAUGUACAUCGAAACACACAGUGAAAUGCGCCUUUUGCAGCCCACAAGUGUCGUCACACUUCCAGCGCCAACACAGCACGCCCACAACUUCCUAACCCGUACGUCUUUGGAAUGUGGGAGGAAACCGGAGCACCCGGAGGAAACCCACGCAUUCAUGAACACUGAUUUCAGAUGGUGCUAGAGUCAGCACUUUCAAUCUAAGACACCACAUGAAACCAGCUUCCUGAAGAAAACCAAACUGCCCUGCAGGUUCGGAGAUGAUUCCAGCUCCUCUUCAAGAUCCUGAGGGGAGAGAGUGCUGAGAGUUUGAAUUAGAAACCUUUACUUCACCCGGAUCUCCUCCCGCCCUUCCCCACCACCCCCAGAGGCCUCAUCCUGUGACCUGUGGAGAAAUGUCAUGGAUGCUGUCCGACUGGGUCAGGGAGCCUCCUUCUCUGGACAACACGAGGGGUCCUUACAACAGCCAUCCUUUCCCAGAUCACAGCUACUGAGACCAGCCUCAUUCACAGACCGAGGUUUGAAAUCACCUCCAGUCAGUACCCUGGCUGGACACGUACAACACCCGGACCAGAGUGCUGCUGUUGCCACAGUGACAGGAAAAUAGGACCUGGUCACUGCACGGUCCAUCACCUGGCUACGGUCAGCUGAAGAUACAAUACCCCUGCCAAGGAGCAGCACUGCAGACACAAACUACACUUUGCAAGAAGACUGCAGUAGAACUGUUCAAAAGAUUGAAACUAGUCAUGUCCCCUUUGACCCUCAUCAAUUUGUAUCGAUGCACCAUAGAAAGCAUCCUAUCCGGAUGUAUCACAUCUUGGUAUGGCGAUUGCUCUGCCCGGGACCAUAAGAAACUGCAGAGAGUUGUGGACACAGCUCAGCGCAUCACAGAAACCAGCCUCCCCUCCAUGGACUCUGUCUACACUUCUUGCUGCCUCGGAAAAGCAGCCAACAUAAUCAAAGACCCCACCAUCCUGGACAUUCUCUCUUCUCCCCCCUCCCAUUGGGCAGAAGAUCCAAAAGCCUGAAAUCACGUAUCACCAGGCUCUAUCCCGCUGUUAUAAGACUAUUGAACGGUCACCUAGUACCUCGUUAUGGCCUUGAAUCUUAUUGUCUGCCUGCACUGCACUUUCUCUGUAACUGACACUUUAUUCUGCAUUCUGUUAUUGUUUUCCCUUGUACUACCUCAAUGCACUGUUGUAAUGAAUUGAUCUGUAUGGAUGGCCACUGUACCUCGGUACAUGUGACAAUAAUAAACCAACUUACCCAUUGGGCAGGAACCAUGUCCCAGAGUCAGAUGGGUUAGGCAGUGCUGACGUUUGCCAGAACGACAGCUGAUUGAUUCAGGGAACAAAAUGACCAUGUUGGAAAUGAACUCCUCUCAUUAUUUCUGCCCCCUAAUGCUGAUGGUCAGACUCCCACAGUCAACACCUUGGGACCUGGGUCUCACACACACAGCAAUGCCAGGGUGCACAUGACUGAGAUGCACUUGUUUCAGCCACUUACUUGUGACGACACAGGAGGCCGUUCAGCCCAUCAUCCAUGCCAGCCCCCAGAAGAACAAUCCUGUCAGUCCCAUUCCCCUUUCCCCUGCAGCUUCAUCUCUCACACGCUCAUCUACUCCCCUUCGAUUCUUCUGCUGCUCACCUACACACUCGGGGUUAUUUACAGCAGCCAAUUAACCCUCCGGCCCACACGUCCGUGGGAUGUGGGAGAAAACCGGAGGUUGGGAUUGAACCUGGGUUUCUGGGGUUGUGAGGCAGUGGUGCUGAUUGCUCCUACCUCCAUCCACCUUGUCCUCUCACCGAGAAGCCUUAAAAUAACCACUGGCAACAUAAGAACAUAAAAAAUAGGAGCAGAAGGAGGCCAUCCGGCCCGUCGAGCCUGCUCCGCCAUUCAAUAAGAUCAUGGCUGAUCUGGCGGUGGACUCAGAUCCACCUACCUGCGUUUUACUAUAAUUCCCCUACAAUGCAAAAAUCUAUCUAACUGUGUGUUAAAUAUAUUUAAUGAGGUAGCAGAGAUUCAAUUCCCUGGGCAGAGAAUUCCACAGAUUCACUACCCUCUGGGAAAAGCAGUUUCUCCUCGUCUCCACCCUAAAUCUAUUCCCUGAAUCUUGAGGCUUUGUCCCUUAGUUCUAGUCUCACCUACCAGUGGAAACAACCUUCCUGCCUCUACCUUAUCUAUCCCUUUCAUAAUUUUAUAUGUCUCUAUAAGAUCCCCUCUCAUUCUUCUGAAUUCCAGUGAGUACAGUCCCAGGCGACUCAAUCUCUCCUCAUAGGCUAACCCCCUCAUCUCCGGAAUCAACCUGGCGAACCUCCUCUGCACCACCUCCAAAGCCAGUACAUCUUUCCUCAAGUAAGGAGACCAGAACUGCACGCAGUACUCCAGGUGCAGCCUCACCAGUACCCUGUACAGUUGCAGCAUAACCUCCCUGCUCUUAAAUUCAAUCCCUCCAGCAAUGAAGGCCAACAUUCCAUUUACCUUCUUGAUAACCUGUUGCACCUGCAAACCAACCUUUUGCAAUUCAUGCACAAGCUCUCCCAAGUCCCUCCGCACAACAACAUGCUACAAUCUUUCAAUAUUUAAAUAAUAAUCUGAUCUUCAACUUUUCCUUCCAAAGUGAAUGACCUCGCAUUUACCAAUGUUGUACUCCAUCUGCCAGACCCUUGCCCACUCACUGAACCUAUCUAUAUGUCUCUGCAGACUCUCCACAUCCUCUGCACUGGAGAAACUGGAGAAAAGCAGCAGCUGAAGGGAAGGUUUAAGGACCAACAUUUGUACAGCGGGUCUACAGAGGUUGCUGCACUUGGUCCAGGAGAUGAAGACCGAUGAUUGGUCCAAUCACGUCUGUUAUGCCUUUUGCCUCUCAGGUUUAGAUCAAUGGAGCAAAGCUCUCCCUACCCUGCCAAUCACAGACUGGUACCCAACACAACCGCUGCCUUUGUGUGCACUGGGCUUUGCUGGGGGCAAUGUCGGGGUUUAAAUUAAACCUGUUACUGGAAGGAAAGGAAAGGCAAAGUAAAUGUUCAAUCCAAGCAAACCUCCACUUUAUAAGAACACACUUCAAGGAAUUAAAUACUUUCCAUAAAAAACAUUGACACUCAGUUUUGAGAACGAUGCAAAAACACAAACUUUUCCAUAACUAUUCCAGAAAUAGUUUUUGUCUUUUUUUUAGGAAUAAACUUUGUGUUAUGAUAAUCUAGUAAAC